CGCGUUGUUCGUGAAAUCUCACGGCUUAACUGUGAGCGUGCGGGCGAUACGGGCAGACUUGAGUACUGCAGGGGAGACUGGAAUUCCUGGUGUAGCGGUGGAAUGCGCAGAUAUCAGGAGGAACACCGGUGGCGAAGGCGGGUCUCUGGGCAGUAACUGACGCUGAGGAGCGAAAGCGUGGGGAGCGAACAGGAUUAGAUACCCUGGUAGUCCACGCCGUAAACGGUGGGUACUAGGUGUGGGUUUCCUUCCUUGGGAUCCGUGCCGUAGCUAACGCAUUAAGUACCCCGCCUGGGGAGUACGGCCGCAAGGCUAAAACUCAAAGAAAUUGACGGGGGCCCGCACAAGCGGCGGAGCAUGUGGAUUAAUUCGAUGCAACGCGAAGAACCUUACCUGGGUUUGACAUGCACAGGACGCCGGCAGAGAUGUCGGUUCCCUUGUGGCCUGUGUGCAGGUGGUGCAUGGCUGUCGUCAGCUCGUGUCGUGAGAUGUUGGGUUAAGUCCCGCAACGAGCGCAACCCUUGUCUCAUGUUGCCAGCGGGUAAUGCCGGGGACUCGUGAGAGACUGCCGGGGUCAACUCGGAGGAAGGUGGGGAUGACGUCAAGUCAUCAUGCCCCUUAUGUCCAGGGCUUCACACAUGCUACAAUGGCCGGUACAAAGGGCUGCGAUGCCGCGAGGUUAAGCGAAUCCUUU
This 694-nucleotide ribosomal RNA is filed under the name uncultured bacterium. RNAcentral describes it as "bacterial SSU rRNA". It matches the Rfam family "Bacterial small subunit ribosomal RNA", at positions 584 to 1277 of the family's 1533-position model. The record is from RNAcentral.